GGACGGGGAGCACUACGAACGGGUGGAGCCUGUCGGUUUAAUUGGAUUCAACCGACCGGAAAUCUCGGACCGGGGGCGACAGCAAUAUGAAGGUCAGGCUGAAGACCUUACCCGAUUAGCUGAGAGGUGGUGCAUGGCCGUCGUCAGUUCGUACUGUGAAGCAUCCUGUUAAGUCAGGCAACGAGCGAGACCCACGUCCACAGUUGCCAGCAUACCCUCCGGGGUGAUGGGUACACUGUGGAGACCGCCGCUGCUAAAGCGGAGGAAGGAGUGGGCAACGGUAGGUCAGUAUGCCCCGAAUCUCCCGGGCUACACGCGGGCUACAAUGGUUGGUACAAUGGGCAUCUACCCCGAAAGGGGAAGGAAAUCUCUUAAAGCCAAUCGUAGUUCGGAUUGAGGGCUGCAACUCGCCCUCAUGAAGCUGGAAUCCGUAGUAAUCGCGUUUCAACAGAACGCGGUGAAUACGUCCCUGCUCCUU
Molecule: ribosomal RNA, 478 nt
Filed under: uncultured Methanosaeta sp.
Lineage: Archaea; Methanobacteriati; Methanobacteriota; Methanomicrobia; Methanotrichales; Methanotrichaceae
Description: bacterial SSU rRNA
Rfam family: Archaeal small subunit ribosomal RNA
Source: RNAcentral